GUGCAGUGUGUGUGUGUGUGUGUGUGUGUGUAGGAGUCUAGUGUGUGUUUGAAGGACCCAGAAUGUGGAUAGGAGAUCUAGUGAGUGUGUGUAUAUAGCGGAUUCAGAGUGUAUAUAGGGAUCUAGUGUGUGUAUAUGUGUAGAUGAUCCAGAGUUGGGUAAGGGAUCUAGUGUGUGUCUGGAAUGUAAUGUAUUUAGGGGUGCAGUAUGUCUGUG
RNAcentral lists this long non-coding RNA (216 nucleotides) under Pelobates cultripes (western spadefoot toad). The record is from RNAcentral. Lineage: Eukaryota; Metazoa; Chordata; Amphibia; Anura; Pelobatidae.